This 1012-nucleotide ribosomal RNA is filed under the name Salmonella enterica. RNAcentral's name for it is "bacterial SSU rRNA". It matches the Rfam family "Bacterial small subunit ribosomal RNA", at positions 1 to 1002 of the family's 1533-position model. The record is from RNAcentral. Lineage: Bacteria; Pseudomonadati; Pseudomonadota; Gammaproteobacteria; Enterobacterales; Enterobacteriaceae.
AAAUUGAAGAGUUUGAUCAUGGCUCAGAUUGAACGCUGGCGGCAGGCCUAACACAUGCAAGUCGAACGGUAACAGGAAGCAGCUUGCUGCUUUGCUGACGAGUGGCGGACGGGUGAGUAAUGUCUGGGAAACUGCCUGAUGGAGGGGGAUAACUACUGGAAACGGUGGCUAAUACCGCAUAACGUCGCAAGACCAAAGAGGGGGACCUUCGGGCCUCUUGCCAUCAGAUGUGCCCAGAUGGGAUUAGCUUGUUGGUGAGGUAACGGCUCACCAAGGCGACGAUCCCUAGCUGGUCUGAGAGGAUGACCAGCCACACUGGAACUGAGACACGGUCCAGACUCCUACGGGAGGCAGCAGUGGGGAAUAUUGCACAAUGGGCGCAAGCCUGAUGCAGCCAUGCCGCGUGUAUGAAGAAGGCCUUCGGGUUGUAAAGUACUUUCAGCGGGGAGGAAGGUGUUGCGGUUAAUAACCGCAGCAAUUGACGUUACCCGCAGAAGAAGCACCGGCUAACUCCGUGCCAGCAGCCGCGGUAAUACGGAGGGUGCAAGCGUUAAUCGGAAUUACUGGGCGUAAAGCGCACGCAGGCGGUCUGUCAAGUCGGAUGUGAAAUCCCCGGGCUCAACCUGGGAACUGCAUUCGAAACUGGCAGGCUUGAGUCUUGUAGAGGGGGGUAGAAUUCCAGGUGUAGCGGUGAAAUGCGUAGAGAUCUGGAGGAAUACCGGUGGCGAAGGCGGCCCCCUGGACAAAGACUGACGCUCAGGUGCGAAAGCGUGGGGAGCAAACAGGAUUAGAUACCCUGGUAGUCCACGCCGUAAACGAUGUCUACUUGGAGGUUGUGCCCUUGAGGCGUGGCUUCCGGAGCUAACGCGUUAAGUAGACCGCCUGGGGAGUACGGCCGCAAGGUUAAAACUCAAAUGAAUUGACGGGGGCCCGCACAAGCGGUGGAGCAUGUGGUUUAAUUCGAUGCAACGCGAAGAACCUUACCUGGUCUUGACAUCCACAGAACUUUCCA